RNAcentral lists this microRNA precursor (173 nucleotides) under Podarcis lilfordi (Lilford's wall lizard). The record is from RNAcentral. Lineage: Eukaryota; Metazoa; Chordata; Lepidosauria; Squamata; Lacertidae.
AAGCUAUCCGCUAGCCGUGGGAGACGCAGCUCUCCCACAACUAGCGGAGAGCUUGCCGGCACCCAGAAGCUAGGGGCGCGCUGAGCUCAGCACGCCCCAAGCUUUGGGCUUUGCGCAGCACUCCGCUAGCCGUGGGAAAGUCGCGUGGCUCUCCCAUGGCUAGCGGAGAGCUU